This 63-nucleotide transfer RNA is filed under the name Rhynchoedura ornata (Western beaked gecko). RNAcentral's name for it is "tRNA-Cys". Lineage: Eukaryota; Metazoa; Chordata; Lepidosauria; Squamata; Diplodactylidae. The record is from RNAcentral.
AGUCCAGUAGUGUAUGCACGUCGAAUUGCAAAUUCGAAGAAGCUCCCAAAAGGUGCCCGGACU